AAAGUGUCAAAUUAAGGAUGUGUUCUUUUUGUUGUCAUCGCAGGACUCUCUCUAGGCGUUUUAAACAUGACAAUAGUGAUACCACAAAUGGUUGUAUCAUUUGGAGUUGGUCCUAUUGAUGCGUUAUUUGGAGGUGGGAAUUUACCAGGAUUUGUGGUUGGAGCUAUUGCAGCGGCAAUCAGCAGUGUUGUGGCAUUUUCCGUUUUACCAUAAUUUUUUUUGCGUUUU
Molecule: small RNA, 228 nt
Filed under: Arabidopsis thaliana (thale cress)
Lineage: Eukaryota; Viridiplantae; Streptophyta; Magnoliopsida; Brassicales; Brassicaceae
Description: ATSL288790
Source: RNAcentral